This 250-nucleotide ribosomal RNA is filed under the name uncultured bacterium. RNAcentral describes it as "partial 16S ribosomal RNA". It matches the Rfam family "Bacterial small subunit ribosomal RNA", at positions 525 to 775 of the family's 1533-position model. The record is from RNAcentral.
ACGUAGGUGGCGAGCGUUGUCCGGAAUUAUUGGGCGUAAAGGGAGCGCAGGCGGGAAGGUAAGUCUAUCUUAAAAGUGCGGGGCUCAACCCCGUGAGGGGAUGGAAACUAUCUUUCUUGAGUGCAGGAGAGGAAAGCGGAAUUCCUAGUGUAGCGGUGAAAUGCGUAGAUAUUAGGAGGAACACCAGUGGCGAAGGCGGCUUUCUGGACUGUAACUGACGCUGAGGCUCGAAAGCCAGGGGAGCGAACGG